GUGCUUGCGUCAGCAGCACAUAUACUCAAAUUGGAAGGCUACAGAAAGAUUAGCAUGGCCCCUGUGCAAGGAUGAUACGCAAAUGAAAUGAAGUGUUUUAAAAAACGUUU
Nomascus leucogenys (northern white-cheeked gibbon) is the source of this 110-nucleotide small nuclear RNA. NCBI's taxonomy places the organism in Eukaryota, Metazoa, Chordata, Mammalia, Primates, Hylobatidae. The record is from Ensembl.